This 390-nucleotide ribosomal RNA is filed under the name Crematogaster mucronata. Its description in RNAcentral is "partial 12S ribosomal RNA". Lineage: Eukaryota; Metazoa; Arthropoda; Insecta; Hymenoptera; Formicidae. The record is from RNAcentral.
UAUUUAAACUAGGGAUUGAUACCCUAUUAUUCUAAUUUAAGGUAAAAAUACUGGAGAUUAAAUGUAAAUCAUUAAAUUUAAAUAAUUUGGCGGUAUCUUAGAAGGUUAGAGGAAUCUGUUGAGUAAAUGAUAAUCCACGAUGGGGAUGUCUUAAUAUAAUUUUUAUGUAUUGUUGUUUAAAUAUUAGUUUAUGAGGAUUUAAUAGAGAUUUAGAAUAAUAGAUUAAUUCAAAUCAAAAUGUAGAAUAAUUAAGUUUUAAUGGAUUACAUUUUAAUUUUAUAUCUGAUUUUUAAUUUUAAUUAUUAAGAUGAGGGAGGAUUUAAUAGUAAGGGUAUAUAAUAUUAUAAUUUGAAUUUUAUAUAAGAUAUGUACAAAUUGCCGGUUCCUUUU